This 254-nucleotide ribosomal RNA is filed under the name uncultured bacterium. Its description in RNAcentral is "partial 16S ribosomal RNA". It matches the Rfam family "Bacterial small subunit ribosomal RNA", at positions 524 to 776 of the family's 1533-position model. The record is from RNAcentral.
UACGUAGGGUGCGAGCGUUAAUCGGAAUUACUGGGCGUAAAGCGUGCGCAGGCGGUCUGUUAAGACCGAUGUGAAAUCCCCGGGCUUAACCUGGGAACUGCAUUGGUGACUGGCAGGCUUUGAGUGUGGCAGAGGGAGGUAGAAUUCCACGUGUAGCAGUGAAAUGCGUAGAGAUGUGGAGGAAUACCGAUGGCGAAGGCAGCCUCCUGGGCCAACACUGGCGCUCAUGCACGAAAGCGUGGGGAGCAAACAGG